AUGUCAGAAGUGGGAUUUGAACCCACGCCCUCUUUCGAAGACCAGAACUUGAGUCUGGCGCCUUAGACCACUCGGCCAUCCUGUUAUAAAAAAGAGUUAUCACUACAAUAAUAAAAAGGAAUUAACAAAAAUUUGUUUGAUGGCAAGCAAGAAUGUGAGCGUAAUCCGAGAAAGAGAAGCUUUGGCUUUGGCACUCUGAAAAUAGUUGAGGAUCAAGAUCACAGUUCAAGAUAUAAAUUGUGUGAACAGCUGCAGGCUCUAAUUUCUCCAGCAAUACUACCAUUGUCUGUUGCACUUGCACUUUAAUUUGAAUUCACUAUCUUACAGAUCUUACAACAAUAUCUCUGUGCUUUCAAAGCUCAGAUUCCUGUGAGGGAUCCAGGAAGGUAUACAUAUAUAUGCGAUGGGCCACUCUGUUUAAAUAGUUAGUCUCUUCGUUGGAAAUUUUGGCACAUGGCGCUCUUUUGUAUUGUAGGGAAUCAGUUGGAGCACUAUAUUUCCAGUGUUAUUUGGAUGAUAAUAUGCUUUUAGGUCGUGCUGUUGGUGGAGGAGGAGGCGUAUUUGUGUUUACAAGAGCCCAAUAACUUUACUAAUGAGCAUUGAUAAGUAGUUUAUGACUUGAACUGCCUGUCUGCAAUAUAACAGUAACAUUCACUGAGCCGGCGUUUUUGAAUUGGCCAUAAGGAGAGGAAAAAUUAGAUUGGAGGCCUAUAGCCCACAAGGAAUCUUCUCAUUGAACAGGGAAAUAAUAUGUAAUUGUUGUGAUAUUAUUUGAACUUGCUACUUUUUGGGGGAUGGGGCGUUGUAAAUUUGUUUUGUUUCUAUUGAUUUCAUUUUCAUCAUUGUAUAUUAAUAUAGUUUGUGUUCAAUGUAACUUCUGAUAUCAGAUGUCAAGCUGAUAGUUCUUAAA
Medicago truncatula (barrel medic) is the source of this 910-nucleotide long non-coding RNA. RefSeq lists it as uncharacterized. The transcript has 3 exons. NCBI's taxonomy places the organism in Eukaryota, Viridiplantae, Streptophyta, Magnoliopsida, Fabales, Fabaceae. The record is from RefSeq and is a predicted model, not a curated record.